RNAcentral lists this ribosomal RNA (198 nucleotides) under uncultured bacterium. RNAcentral's name for it is "partial 16S ribosomal RNA". It matches the Rfam family "Bacterial small subunit ribosomal RNA", at positions 328 to 539 of the family's 1533-position model. The record is from RNAcentral.
ACGCUCGACACCUAUGGGAGGCAGCAGUGAGGGAUAUUGGUCAAUGGGGGAAACCCUGAACCAGCAACGCCGCGUGAGGGAUGACGGUCUUCGGAUUGUAAACCUCUGUCCUCUGUGAAGAUAAUGACGGUAGCAGAGGAGGAAGCUCCGGCUAACUACGUGCAAGCAGCCGCGGUAAUCUGAGCGGGCUGGCAAGGC